Molecule: ribosomal RNA, 254 nt
Filed under: uncultured bacterium
Lineage: Bacteria
Description: partial 16S ribosomal RNA
Rfam family: Bacterial small subunit ribosomal RNA
Source: RNAcentral
UACGUAGGAUCCAAGCGUUAUCCGGAUUUACUGGGCGUAAAGAGUUGCGUAGGUGGCAAAGUAAGUUAGUAGUGAAAUCGUGUGGCUCAACCAUACUUACAUUACUAAAACUGCUUAGCUUGAGAAUGAGAGAGGUCACUGGAAUUCCUUGUGUAGGAGUGAAAUCCGUAGAUAUAAGGAGGAACACCGAUGGCGUAGGCAGGUGACUGGCUCAUUUCUGACACUGAGGCACGAAAGCGUGGGGAGCGAACGGG